AUUUCAUCGUAGGAUUCAGAUCUAUUGGUAGAAAGUAAAACAAAAAAAUUCUAAAAAUUUAAGUUAUACACAAAUUUGGAGUGACUUAUUUUUUAAAAUACUUUCGGAAUAUCUCGAGUUUUCCCACACAUUGAUAAUGAAUUUUUGCUCAGUGCCCUACGAAGCUGAUUACGGCAUGUACGCCGAUUCCAAGAUGAAAAGCGUGCCCCAGUACCCUCUGGCCAUGGGUGCCAGUCAGGGUCAAGGACAGUCCAUGGCCAUGCAGCCGCUGAAUCCACCACAGAUGAAUCUGCAGAUGCAGAUGCCCGUGUGCCAGUCGGGCGCCUCAUCAUACCCCAUGCAGGGUAUGCCGCUGGGCAUGAUGCAAGGGGGUAAUCAGAUGACUCCCAUGUCCACGAUGAGCACCCAGCUGCCGAUUGGAGCGGUAACGCCCCUCAACAGCAUGACCAUGAUGCCCAUGAUGGGCAAUCCCAUGGGCGCCAUCGACGCCCCCGGUAUCAAUGCAGUGCUGCCCGACCUGCAGCCCAUGAGCUCCAUGAGUCAGAUGCAGCCACUGCAGCAGUACAAUCCAACGGGAUCUUCCACCCAAAUGCAUCAGGGUCGUCUGACGGGCGGCUGCAGUACGGGAAUGGCCGCGGCCUGUCCGUCGUCGCCCACGAAUACUGGCAACUGGAGCUCCAGUCCCAGCUCCAACCAGAUGAGCAAUGCCAACAUGUGGCAAUACAGCCAGCCCAUGCAGAGUCACCAGCCGCAGUACCAACAGUUGCAGCACUUCCAGCAGCAGCAGAGCCCAUCCCACCAGCAGGUCAGCCGGAUGAAGCCCUCCUACGACGCACCCAUGUACCGGGACAUGCGCAACGGUCUGAACACACCGUCCAUGCACGAUUCUUCGAAGUACAGCAAAGGCAAUCAAUCAUUCAAUUGUGGAAAAGCGCUUACCAAGGUCCCCCAUUGGCGUUGACGAACCCCAUGAGCCCAUCAUUAGUUGUUUUUGUACUUUUGCAUGAUUGGUGUCUCUUUAUUUGCACAACUUGUUCCAAGACUUCCCCUACGCAAGCAAACAGAUACUCAAGCCCACAAGAAACACAGACAUGGUCGCAAACAUAUUGUUUUUCAUCCAGCGACUUUAAGCGCCCUGAUUUAUGGCCAUCAGACAUCAAAAUUGGCAACAUGUUCGUGGGGAGGGAGCUCAGCGAAGGAAAAGUGGACGAGGGAAAGCUGAACUGGCUAUGAAAAAUUUAUGCUGACCGCAUGAUGAACGCAUAAAAAAUGUUGCCAACUUAUGGCCAAAAUGCAAUCCACAACCCAGUCGCUGUGCGGAGUAUAAACAAUGGCUUUAUCGGCCAAAGGCAUCAGUUGGUUGGCUCACUCCCUCCGUUCCAGGCCCCAAAAUCCCUUUCCUGCGUCCCUCCAGAGUCGUUAGAUUCUGGCCAAGUCGGGCCAAGGUGUGAAUAUUUUAUGUGGCACUAUUUUGAUACCAUAAAUCUUUUAGUAGUUGAUUCAGCAAA
This is an RNA transcript of Drosophila santomea, 1508 nucleotides long. RefSeq lists it as uncharacterized. Lineage: Eukaryota; Metazoa; Arthropoda; Insecta; Diptera; Drosophilidae. The transcript has 5 exons. The record is from RefSeq and is a predicted model, not a curated record.